Molecule: ribosomal RNA, 253 nt
Filed under: uncultured bacterium
Lineage: Bacteria
Description: partial 16S ribosomal RNA
Rfam family: Bacterial small subunit ribosomal RNA
Source: RNAcentral
UACAGAGGGUGCGAGCGUUGUCCGGAAUCACUGGGCGUAAAGGGCGCGUAGGCGGUCUGGUAAGCGUGUGGUGAAAGCUCGGGGCUCAACCCCGAGUCGGCCGUGCGAACUGCUGGACUGGAGCAUGUCAGAGGCAGGCGGAAUUCUCGGUGUAGCGGUGAAAUGCGUAGAUAUCGAGAGGAACACCUGCGGCGAAGGCGGGUUGCUGGGCUGAUACUGACGCUGAGGCGCGAAAGCCAGGGGAGCGAACGGG